This 26-nucleotide transfer RNA is filed under the name Schoenolirion croceum. RNAcentral describes it as "partial tRNA-Met". The record is from RNAcentral. Lineage: Eukaryota; Viridiplantae; Streptophyta; Magnoliopsida; Asparagales; Asparagaceae.
UUGCGGAGACAGGAUUUGAACCCGUG